AUGUAUAACGAAGAUUGUGGGCACUUGGUUAGGAAUAAAAAGAAGAAAACAUAUGUGUGUGUACAUAAUACUAGGUUUGUAAGGAAAUCAAAGGCGCUUGAUCUCUCAGACGCUAGCAUGUAUUUUUCAUUCUGUACAGUAUUACUCAUCCCCAAAAAGUUUUGGAGUAAGCAUCAGUGGUGUAAAUCAUCCCCUGUACUUGUGUGUAGAGUUUAUGAACUUGUGCUUGGUAGAAUAUUCCUGUCGUGUCUAUCUUCAAGAUUCGGAUGUUUCCGGUUGCACUUUACAAUUUAUCAUUAUCGAUCCCUUCGGAGAAAGAAGGAGUAG
RNAcentral lists this ribosomal RNA (327 nucleotides) under Triticum aestivum (bread wheat). RNAcentral describes it as "partial small subunit ribosomal RNA". The record is from RNAcentral. Lineage: Eukaryota; Viridiplantae; Streptophyta; Magnoliopsida; Poales; Poaceae.